RNAcentral lists this ribosomal RNA (520 nucleotides) under Pollicipes pollicipes. Its description in RNAcentral is "partial 16S ribosomal RNA". It matches the Rfam family "Bacterial large subunit ribosomal RNA", at positions 1807 to 2607 of the family's 2925-position model. Lineage: Eukaryota; Metazoa; Arthropoda; Thecostraca; Pollicipedomorpha; Pollicipedidae. The record is from RNAcentral.
ACAAAAACAUUUCCUUCUUGUUAAGAAGGUAAGGCCUGCUCACUGAAAAUUAAAGAGCCGCAGUAUUUUGACUGUGCUAAGGUAGCAUAAUCAUUAGUCUUUUAAUUGGAGACUGGUAUGAAUGGCUAAACGAAAAAUGAACUUUUUUUGUUACUAAGAUUGAAUUUAACUUUUAAGUGAAAAGGCUUAAAUAGUUCAGAAAGACGAGAAGACCCUAUAGAGUUUAAUAUGUUAAGAAUAUAGAUUUUUUAGAUUUUUUUAAUUUAUGUUUACGGUUCGUAUUUUGUUGGGGCGACAUUAAGAUAAGAGUAACUCUUGAUAUUAAAAACUUCAAUAGAAGUUUAUUUGAUCCUUUAAAAAAGAUUACAAGGAAAAAUUACCUUAGGGAUAACAGCGUAAUCUUUUUUGAGAGUUCUAAUCGACAAAAAGGUUUGCGACCUCGAUGUUGGACUAAAAUUUAGGCAAGGUGCAGCAGUUUUGCUUUAGGGUCUGUUCGACCCUUAAAAUUUUACGUGAUCUG